Potamilus streckersoni is the source of this 77-nucleotide non-coding RNA. The record is from the annotation of a GenBank genome assembly. Lineage: Eukaryota; Metazoa; Mollusca; Bivalvia; Unionida; Unionidae.
GACUUAACCGGUGACCUAGUGGUUAAAGAGUCCGCCUCGGAAGCGGAAAGACGCGGGUUCUAACCCUGACCGAGUCA